UAGGGAAUAUUAGUAAUGGGCGAAAGCCUGAACUCGCAACACCGCGUGUGCGAAGAAGGCCUUCGGGUUGUAAAGCACUUUUUGAGAGGAUGAGGAAGUACGGUACUCUCAGAAUAAGUCUCGGCUAACUACGUGCCAGCAGCCGCGGUAACACGUAGGAGGCAAACGUUAUCCGGAUUUACUGGGCGUAAAGCGCGUGUAGGUGGUUUGGUAAGUAGAGUGUGAAAGCUACUGGCUUAACUGGUAGAGGUCGUUCUAAACUGACGGACUAGAGGGUGGUAGAGGGAGGUGGAAUUGGGGGUGUAGCGGUGGAAUGCGUAGAUAUCAGGAGGAACACCAGUGGCGAAAGCGGUCUGCUGGAACUCUACUGACACUCAGACGCGAAAGCGAGGGUAGCAAACG
Molecule: ribosomal RNA, 402 nt
Filed under: uncultured prokaryote
Description: bacterial SSU rRNA
Rfam family: Bacterial small subunit ribosomal RNA
Source: RNAcentral